This is a long non-coding RNA of Hordeum vulgare subsp. vulgare (domesticated barley), 182 nucleotides long. RefSeq lists it as uncharacterized. The transcript has 3 exons. NCBI's taxonomy places the organism in Eukaryota, Viridiplantae, Streptophyta, Magnoliopsida, Poales, Poaceae. The record is from RefSeq and is a predicted model, not a curated record.
UAGGAAUAAUGCUUAUGAUUCGGAUAAUUCACCAGCACCAGCUUAUCAUGUUUAAGCGGCGAAUUCCAUGUUUGGACUCUUACCUAGACAAGGUUAACAUGUCACUCUGGCCUCGCUUCAAGAUGGUCUUUGACUUGCAUUUGAGCAGCUUGCGGAAUGCUAAUAUUAAGACUCUUUGGGAG